UCCGACGUAGCUCAGUGGUAGAGCAACCGGCUGUUAACCGGUUGGUCGCUGGUUCGAGUCCAGCCGUCGGAGCCA
This 75-nucleotide transfer RNA is filed under the name Burkholderiales bacterium. Its description in RNAcentral is "tRNA-Asn". It matches the Rfam family "tRNA". Rfam says of the family: Transfer RNA (tRNA) molecules are approximately 80 nucleotides in length. Their secondary structure includes four short double-helical elements and three loops (D, anti-codon, and T loops). Lineage: Bacteria; Pseudomonadati; Pseudomonadota; Betaproteobacteria; Burkholderiales. The record is from RNAcentral. RNAcentral also lists the same sequence under 1 other name.